RNAcentral lists this transfer RNA (74 nucleotides) under Candidatus Melainabacteria bacterium. Its description in RNAcentral is "tRNA-Arg". It matches the Rfam family "tRNA". Rfam says of the family: Transfer RNA (tRNA) molecules are approximately 80 nucleotides in length. Their secondary structure includes four short double-helical elements and three loops (D, anti-codon, and T loops). Further hydrogen bonds mediate the characteristic L-shaped molecular structure. tRNAs have two regions of fundamental functional importance: the anti-codon, which is responsible for specific mRNA codon recognition, and the 3' end, to which the tRNAs corresponding amino acid is attached (by aminoacyl-tRNA synthetases). tRNAs cope with the degeneracy of the genetic code in two manners: having more than one tRNA (with a specific anti-codon) for a particular amino acid; and 'wobble' base-pairing, i.e. permitting non-standard base-pairing at the 3rd anti-codon position. Lineage: Bacteria; Bacillati; Candidatus Melainabacteria. The record is from RNAcentral. RNAcentral also lists the same sequence under 1 other name.
GGCUUCGUAGUUCAGAUGGAUAGAACGUCUCACUCCUAAGGAGAAUGUCGGGGGUUCGACUCCCUCCGAGGCCA